CACUGUGCUGUCAUUAAAGUGAUACCAGCAGCCCUCGUGAAGACCAUAUGCUGUGUAAUGACCUGAUCCCACCCUGGCAAAGACAGAGCAACAGAAAAGAGAAAAGAGCCUGCAAGUUAAACACGUGGAGCGGAUAUACAAGAUACCGCGCUUCUCACCAUUUAAACGAAUACACUUCCGUCACAGAUCUGCGUCUGCUUUAAUCCAACAACUUGAUGUUAAUGAUGGUAAUAAAGACUGGAUUUAUCGGAUAAUUCGGAUUUACUCACCGCUGCAGCACCAUGAAGAAGGUGAACCGUGAGGGAAUCGAGAUGGAUCCACGGCC
Molecule: long non-coding RNA, 325 nt
Organism: Silurus meridionalis
Lineage: Eukaryota; Metazoa; Chordata; Actinopteri; Siluriformes; Siluridae
Exons: 3
Source: RefSeq, a predicted model, not a curated record